AACGAACGCUGGCGGCAGGCCUAACACAUGCAAGUCGAGCGGACCCUUCGGGGUUAGCGGCGGACGGGUGAGUAACGCCUGGGAAUAUGCCCUUCUCUACGGAAUCGUUCUGGGUAACUGGGGUUAAUACCGUAUACGCCCUUUGGGGGUAAGAUUUAUGGGGGCAGGAUUAGCCCGCGUUGGUUUCGGUAGUUGGUGGGGUACUGGCCUACCAAGGCGGCGUUGCAUAGCUGGUAGGGGAAGAUGAUCCGCCACACUGGAACUGAGACACGGACCAGACUCGUACGGAGCGGAGCAGUAUAGUAUCCUAGGGGAGGGAGGCUACUGUAGUCUAGCCGCGCGGGGGAAGUGAGGAAGGGCGUAGGGUUGUACAGCUGCUUCAGCUGGAAAGAGAGUGACGGUACCAGCAGAAGAAGCACCGGCUAACUACGUG
RNAcentral lists this ribosomal RNA (433 nucleotides) under uncultured bacterium. RNAcentral's name for it is "partial 16S ribosomal RNA". It matches the Rfam family "Bacterial small subunit ribosomal RNA", at positions 28 to 507 of the family's 1533-position model. The record is from RNAcentral.